UAAUUGAAGAGUUUGAUCAUGGCUCAGAUUGAACGCUGGCGGCAGGCCUAACACAUGCAAGUCGAGCGGUAACAGGGGAAGCUUGCUUCYCGCUGACGAGCGGCGGACGGGUGAGUAAUGUAUGGGGAUCUGCCCGAUAGAGGGGGAUAACUACUGGAAACGGUAGCUAAUACCGCAUAAUCUCUCAGGAGCAAAGCAGGGGAACUUCGGUCCUUGCRCUAUCGGAUGAACCCAUAUGGGAUUAGCUAGUUGGUGAGGUAAUGGCUCACCUAG
RNAcentral lists this ribosomal RNA (273 nucleotides) under Providencia rettgeri. RNAcentral's name for it is "partial 16S ribosomal RNA". Lineage: Bacteria; Pseudomonadati; Pseudomonadota; Gammaproteobacteria; Enterobacterales; Morganellaceae. The record is from RNAcentral.